AUUGAACGCUGGCGGCAUGCCUUACACAUGCAAGUCGAACGGCAGCGGACCUUCGGGUGCCGGCGAGUGGCGAACGGGUGAGUAAUAUAUCGGAACGUACCUUUCAGUGGGGGAUAACGUAGCGAAAGUUACGCUAAUACCGCAUAUUCUGUGAGCAGGAAAGCAGGGGAUCGCAAGACCUUGCGCUGAUUGAGCGGCCGAUAUCAGAUUAGCUAGUUGGUGAGGUAAAGGCUCACCAAGGCGACGAUCUGUAGCGGGUCUGAGAGGAUGAUCCGCCACACUGGAACUGAGACACGGUCCAGACUCCUACGGGAGGCAGCAGUGGGGAAUUUUGGACAAUGGGCGCAAGCCUGAUCCAGCCAUGCCGCGUGUGUGAAGAAGGCCUGCGGGUUGUAAAGCACUUUCAGUGGGGAAGAACAGGUUCGGGUCAAUACCCCGGAGCCCUGACGUUACCCACAGAAGAAGCACCGGCUAACUCCGUGCCAG
Molecule: ribosomal RNA, 486 nt
Filed under: uncultured bacterium
Lineage: Bacteria
Description: bacterial SSU rRNA
Rfam family: Bacterial small subunit ribosomal RNA
Source: RNAcentral